Molecule: small nuclear RNA, 160 nt
Filed under: Phaseolus vulgaris (common bean)
Lineage: Eukaryota; Viridiplantae; Streptophyta; Magnoliopsida; Fabales; Fabaceae
Description: U1 spliceosomal RNA
Rfam family: U1 spliceosomal RNA
About the family: U1 is a small nuclear RNA (snRNA) component of the spliceosome (involved in pre-mRNA splicing). Its 5' end forms complementary base pairs with the 5' splice junction, thus defining the 5' donor site of an intron.
Source: Rfam by way of RNAcentral
AUACUUACCUGGAUGGAGUCAAUAGGUGAUCAAUAAGACCUAUGGCUUAGAGCAGUGAUCUUCAUUGCACUUAGAAGGGGUGCUGUUUUAAGGUCUGUCCAAGUGACAGAGCCUACAUCAUUAUUUGUGGUAGAGGAGACCUGAGUUCGCGCGGUCUCUA